Acanthosepion pharaonis is the source of this 102-nucleotide non-coding RNA. The record is from the annotation of a GenBank genome assembly. Lineage: Eukaryota; Metazoa; Mollusca; Cephalopoda; Sepiida; Sepiidae.
GCCAUUUCAUGCUGAAACCUCAUUUGAUCACUAAAGUUAAGCAAUAUUGAGCCUGCUUAGUACCUAGAUGAGUGACUGCUUGGGAAUACCAGGUGCUGUAAG